GCACCCGUAGCUCAGCUGGAUAGAGCGUUGCCCUCCGAAGGCAAAGGUCACACGUUCGAAUCGUGUCGGGUGCGC
RNAcentral lists this transfer RNA (75 nucleotides) under Methylorubrum podarium. RNAcentral's name for it is "tRNA-Arg". It matches the Rfam family "tRNA". From Rfam's summary of the family: Transfer RNA (tRNA) molecules are approximately 80 nucleotides in length. Their secondary structure includes four short double-helical elements and three loops (D, anti-codon, and T loops). The record is from RNAcentral. Lineage: Bacteria; Pseudomonadati; Pseudomonadota; Alphaproteobacteria; Hyphomicrobiales; Methylobacteriaceae.